AGUGAACGCUGGCGGUAGGCCUAACACAUGCAAGUCGAACGGCAGCACAGUAAGAGCCUGCUCUUACGGGUGGCGAGUGGCGGACGGGUGAGGAAUACAUCGGAAUCUACUUUUUCGUGGGGGAUAACGUAGGGAAACUUACGCUAAUACCGCAUACGACCUACGGGUGAAAGCAGGGGAUCUUCGGACCUUGCGCGAUUGAAUGAGCCGAUGUCGGAUUAGCUAGUUGGCGGGGUAAAGGCCCACCAAGGCGACGAUCCGUAGCUGGUCUGAGAGGAUGAUCAGCCACACUGGAACUGAGACACGGUCCAGACUCCGACGGGAGGCAGCAGUGGGGAAUAUUGGACAAUGGGCGCAAGCCUGAUCCAGCCAUACCGCGUGGGUGAAGAAGGCCUUCGGGUUGUAAAGCCCUUUUGUUGGGAAAGAAAAGCAGCAGGUUAAUACCCCGCUGUUCUGACGGUACCCAAAGAAUAAGCACCGGCUAACUUCGU
Molecule: ribosomal RNA, 491 nt
Filed under: uncultured bacterium
Lineage: Bacteria
Description: partial 16S ribosomal RNA
Rfam family: Bacterial small subunit ribosomal RNA
Source: RNAcentral